This is a long non-coding RNA of Pantherophis guttatus, 1135 nucleotides long. RefSeq lists it as uncharacterized. NCBI's taxonomy places the organism in Eukaryota, Metazoa, Chordata, Lepidosauria, Squamata, Colubridae. The record is from RefSeq and is a predicted model, not a curated record.
GUUCCUCAUUUAGAACAAAAUAUCAGGAUACUGAACAAUAGUAGCUUCUGUUGAGCAGGGCCCAUUCGGAGAUAAGUGGGCCAGGCAGGGAGCCAGAAUCAAGGGCAAGCCAUACUGUCAUAAUAAUCAAUUAAUUCAGACCUGAGGGUCUUAACAAAGAGGCUACUGUGGAGGAGGCCAAACGGCUAAAGGCUCGGGUUAAUGCCUGAGGCCACCAGGAAUAGUCAAGUUCUCGUGACACGGGGCGGGAUUGCGCAAUGGGUCCUUGGAGGAGGAAUUAGCGACUUGGAGCCUUCCGCAUGUGAAAUAUUUCAACGGACAUCAGCUUCAGUCAACACGGUCAACGUCGAAGGGUUAGAAGUGAUGUAUUUUAAAAGAUGAGGAGAGAUUGUGCACCAGCUGGUUGCAGAAAUGCAACUUUACUCUUUUUUUUUUUUUUUUACUGACAGCUUUAAAAAGUAAAUAGCCUUUGAUUCCCUAAGAACAGGGGUCAGCAACCUGCGGCUCCGGAGCUGCAUGCGGCUCUUUGAGCCCUCUGUUGUGGCUCCCUGUCAGGUGAUCCCACCACUGGCUGGCCCCGUCCCUCACCCUCCCCUCCCAGUCAUUCCUCACCUGGCUUGAGAAGCCUAGGAAGAAGGUGACGCUGGCAAACCACUUCUGAUCGUUUGAGUUCAUUGCAAAGAUUAAGAUGGAUUUGAAGACACACAUGAAGACAUGCAAAACCCCAAAGCUUGAGAUUUGCUUAAGAUGUCUUCAGCCCUCCUUGGAGCAGAAAGGCCAAGUACACAAUAAAACUAGAAUCAUUGGGCUGGAAGGGAUCAUAGAGAUCUUCUAGUCCAACCCCCCUGUUUAAAGCAGUAGCCUGUCAACUUGCAAAGCUUUCAAGUUGCCAUGAGCAGGAGGGAGGGAGAACUGAAGUGAAUUCCAUACAUUCUUUCUGACCGCAAUCAGAAGGAGGGUGUUAGGUUUCACAGCCAGCCAAAGUGGUUAAUUGGAGAAUGUGAUUUAUGACAUGGCCAGAGAGGAGGGGAGAGACAGGGUCAUAGGGGAAUGUAAAUCUACGUGGGAUCAGUCCUAACUGUAUCCAAGUAUUGCCGGAAUGUUGCUCCUAAUAAAUGAAUAUAUUUCCUUUGAA